GGUCAAGCGAAUAAGCGCACACGGUGGAUGCCUUGGCGGUCAGAGGCGAUGAAGGACGUGGCAGCCUGCGAAAAGUAUCGGGGAGCUGGCAACAAGCUUUGAUCCGGUAAUGUCCGAAUGGGGAAACCCACCCGCUUGCGGGUAUCCUGCAGUGAAUACAUAGCUGCUGGAAGCGAACCUGGUGAACUGAAAUAUCUAAGUAACCAGAGGAAAAGAAAUCAACCGAGAUUCCGUAAGUAGCGACGAGCGAACGCGGACUAGCCCUUAAGCUGGAUUGGUUCUAGGAAAACGCUCUGGAAAGAGCGGCCAUAGAAGGUGAUAGCCCUGUAUCUGAAAGGGCCAUUCCAGUGAAGACGAGUAGGGCGGGGCACGUGAAACCCUGUCUGAACAUGGGGGGACCAUCCUCCAAGGCUAAAUACUACUGACCGACCGAUAGUGAACCAGUACCGUGAGGGAAAGGCGAAAAGAACCCCGGAGAGGGGAGUGAAAUAGAACCUGAAACCGUGUGCGAAGCAGUAGGGAGCUCCGCAAGGAGUGACUGCGUACCUUUUGUAUAAUGGGUCAGCGACUUACUGUUCGUGGCAAGCUUAACCGUAUAGGGGAGGCGAAGGGAAACCGAGUCUGAUAAGGGCGCAUAGUCGCGGGCAGUAGACCCGAAACCGGGUGAUCUAGUCAUGCCCAGGGUGAAGGUGCGGUAACACGCACUGGAGGCCCGAACCCACUCCCGUUGCAAAGGUAGGGGAUGAGGUGUGAUUAGGAGUGAAAAGCUAAUCGAACCCGGAGAUAGCUGGUUCUCCUCGAAAGCUAUUUAGGUAGCGCCUCAUAUGUAUCCUCUCGGGGGUAGAGCACUGUUAUGGCUAGGGGUCAUCGCGACUUACCAAACCAUUGCAAACUCCGAAUACCGAGACGGACUGUAUGGGAGACACACGGCGGGUGCUAACGUCCGUCGUGAAAAGGGAAACAACCCAGACCCACAGCUAAGGUCCCAAAUUUUGUGCUAAGUGGAAAACCAUGUGGAAAGGCACAGACAGCCAGGAGGUUGGCUUAGAAGCAGCCACCCUUUAAAGAAAGCGUAAUAGCUCACUGGUCGAGUCGGUCUGCGGGGAAGAUUUAACGGGGCUAAGCACAGAACCGAAGCUUGGGGUGCAUACUUUGUAUGCGCGGUAGAGGAGCGUUCCGUAAGCCGUUGAAGGUGGAUUGAGAAGUCUGCUGGAGGUAUCGGAAGUGCGAAUGCUGACAUGAGUAACGAUAAUGCGGGUGAAAAACCCGCACGCCGAAAGCCCAAGGUUUCCUUGCGCAACGUUAAUCGGCGCAGGGUGAGUCGGCCCCUAAGGCGAGGACGAAAGUCGUAGUCGAUGGGAAGCAGGUUAAUAUUCCUGCACCUCGCGUAAGUGCGAUGGAGGGACGGAGAAGGUUAGGUGUACCAGGCGUUGGUUGUCCUGGGGAAAGGCGGUAGGUUUGGAUCUUUGGCAAAUCCGGGAUCCUCUAAGACCGAGCACCGAGACGAGCCUUUAUGGCGAAGUCACUGAUACCACGCUUCCAGGAAAAGCUCCUAAGCUUCAGCUUACGCAGACCGUACCGUAAACCGACACAGGUGGGUAGGAUGAGAAUUCUCAGGCGCUUGAGAGAACUCGGGUGAAGGAACUAGGCAACAUGGCACCGUAACUUCGGGAGAAGGUGCACCCUUUUUGGCUCGUGCGAGCUAUAGCUGAAGAGGGUCGCAGUAACCAGGCCGCUGCGACUGUUUAUCAAAAACACAGCACUCUGCAAACACGAAAGUGGACGUAUAGGGUGUGACGCCUGCCCGGUGCUGGAAGGUUAAUUGAUGGGGUCAGCCGCAAGGCGAAGCUCUUGAUCGAAGCCCCAGUAAACGGCGGCCGUAACUAUAACGGUCCUAAGGUAGCGAAAUUCCUUGUCGGGUAAGUUCCGACCUGCACGAAUGGCGUAACGACAGCGGCGCUGUCUCCACCCGAGACUCAGUGAAAUUGAAAUCGCUGUGAAGAUGCAGCGUUCCCGUGGCAAGACGGAAAGACCCCGUGAACCUUUACUAUAGCUUUACACUGAACGUUGAGUUCGUCUGUGUAGGAUAGGUGGGAGGCUAUGAAACUGUGGCGCCAGCUGCAGUGGAGCCAUCCUUGAAAUACCACCCUGUCGUGCUUGACGUUCUAACCUGGGCCCAUUAUCUGGGUCGGGGACCGUGUAUGGUGGGUAGUUUGACUGGGGCGGUCUCCUCCUAAAGAGUAACGGAGGAGCUCGAAGGUACGCUCAGCGCGGUCGGACAUCGCGCACUGUGUGCAAAGGCAUAAGCGUGCUUGACUGCAAGAUCGACGGAUCAAGCAGGUAGGAAACUAGGACUUAGUGAUCCGGUGGUUCUGUAUGGAAGGGCCAUCGCUCAACGGAUAAAAGGUACUCCGGGGAUAACAGGCUGAUACCGCCCAAGAGUUCAUAUCGACGGCGGUGUUUGGCACCUCGAUGUCGGCUCAUCACAUCCUGGGGCUGUAGUCGGUCCCAAGGGUAUGGCUGUUCCAUUUAAAGUGGUACGCGAGCUGGGUUCAGAACGUCGUGAGACAGUUCGGUCCCUAUCUGCCAUGGGCGUUGGAGAUUUGAGAGGGGCUGCUCCUAGUACGAGAGGACCGGAGUGGACGAACCUCUGGUGUUCCGGUUGUCACGCCAGUGGCAUUGCCGGGUAGCUAUGUUCGGAAGCGAUAACCGCUGAAAGCAUCUAAGCGGGAAGCGCGCCUCAAGAUGAGAUCUCCCGGGGCACAAGCCCCCUGAAGGAACCAUGUAGACUACGUGGUUGAUAGGUCAGGUGUGUAAGUACAGCAAUGUAUUGAGCUAACUGAUACUAAUGAUCCGUGCGGCUUGACCAU
Molecule: ribosomal RNA, 2870 nt
Filed under: Stenotrophomonas maltophilia group sp. msm1
Lineage: Bacteria; Pseudomonadati; Pseudomonadota; Gammaproteobacteria; Lysobacterales; Lysobacteraceae
Description: 23S ribosomal RNA
Rfam family: Bacterial large subunit ribosomal RNA
Source: RNAcentral